CAUGUUUGUGCACUGCUUGUAUGCAGGCAGUUUCCGAUGGCUGUGGGAAGCUCCCCUGGGGAUCUAAUGGGUUGCAGGGGCUCACGUGGCUCCAUGGGGUCUCAGCCCGACGCACAACGUGGCUGGUGAUAGAGGUGCAUCGCCAGGACCUGAAGGACACUCCCAGACCGCGGUGGCCGUUGGCUUCAUCCUCACUGAGUGUGAUCUGGUCGAGCUUAGUAAUCGCAGGCUUUCUGUUCCUGUUUUGUCCGGUUCUCUCCCACAUCUCCCUUACAAGUUUGUCGAUGUGAUGGAUCCCAAGGCACUGUUCUCAGAGCACAUGCUGACUGACCACCUUGGGGUCCUACAGCCCUUUCUGUGUGAAAGGACUUGACAGAAAGCCAAGGAUUGUCCUCUUCUGGACCACUGCGCUCAGCAUCACCCCAGAUACUUCGAUGCCAACGGUCUGGAGGUGCAGUUCGUUUCCUAAUCUGUAUGACACCAAACCCCCACCCCUCUUCCUCCCAUCCUCUGACCUGCAUUCAGCAGCUCUGGUUCUCAACAGCAAGGUCAGUCAGAGCUUCAGGCUAUGAUUCAGCAUCGCCCAAACACCCAGAGAUGCGGCGUUUUCUGUCCCCUCCCUCCCCCCCCUACCCCCCCCAAAAUGCAGCGAUUUCUCCCAGAAAUUCCCCUUUUCUCCCCGAAAUGAGGCUUUUUUUCCCACAAAUACCCCUUUUUUACCCCGAAACGUGGCGAUUUCUCCUACAAAUACCCAUUUUUUUCCCUAAAAUGUGGCUUUUUUCCCCACAAAUACCCGUUUUCUCCCCUGAAACGAGGCUUUUCUCCUCCACACCCCUAUUUUUCUUACUUAAAUGUGGCUUUUUCUCCUACAAAUAUCCAUUUUUUCCCAAAUAUGUGGCUUUUUUUUCCCACAAAUCCCCAUUUUCUCCCCAACAUGAGGCUUUUUCUGCCAGAAAUAACCAUUUUCUCCUCACAAGUGUGGACUUUUUUUUUCCCUCUCGCCAAAAAUGUGGCUUUUUCGCCCACAAGUACCCAUUUUUUCCAAAAAAGCUAGAUUUUUGCCCCAAAACACCUUUUUUUGUGCUCUAAUUGUGGCUUUUUUGCCCCAAAAUGUGGCAUUGUUUCCCACAAACACUCGUUUUCUCCCAAAAAUGAGGCUUUUUUUUUUUCCUACAAAUCCCCU
This 1183-nucleotide long non-coding RNA is filed under the name Meleagris gallopavo (turkey). RNAcentral describes it as "lncRNA (ENSMGAG00000019396.1)". Lineage: Eukaryota; Metazoa; Chordata; Aves; Galliformes; Phasianidae. The record is from RNAcentral.